RNAcentral lists this long non-coding RNA (1174 nucleotides) under Heterocephalus glaber (naked mole-rat). RNAcentral's name for it is "lncRNA (ENSHGLG00100046615.1)". Lineage: Eukaryota; Metazoa; Chordata; Mammalia; Rodentia; Bathyergidae. The record is from RNAcentral.
CUGUGGAGGAAGUGCAGGGAGGGGGCUGAGACAACCAGGCAGCCCUGAAACUGGCAAAAAAAGCAGAAGUGAAGUAUGUGCUUGCGUGGGCCACAGGCAGGUGGUUUCCACAGGAGCUCUGCAGCGAGUUCCUGGCGGGGAGGGGUGAUCCCAGAGCAAGGUGUUGGGAGAGGACUUCAGCGCUAUCCCACAGGGAGGAGGGACCAGAGGAAGCCACCAUUGCUACCAUCCCCCCAGGCUCUGGGUGGACGACCUGACAAAUUAAUGGCAGUGCCAGCUAGGGCUAAGUUCCCAGGGCCCGGUGCUUGGACAAAGUAGAUUGAUAUAUUAGGAGCUUUUUGUGGGUUGGUUUGGCUGUAUUAGAAGGGACAUUGGUUGAAUGACCCUGCCCACUUGUGCUGGCUGGGUUCUGUCUGAUGAAUGUCUAUUUUUGUCUCCUGACAAGGGAAAUGAGGACUGUGCCCACAAUCUCUUGGAUGAACCAAAACCUUCCCUUCAAAAAGACCAGUGACAUUAUUAAAGACAGCCCAGCCAGCCCAGAUCUACCAAGAUCAGUACAGCAGAGCUUUGCUUCACUUUAAAGCUAUAAAUACCUUUUAUGGAAAGCACUAUAACCUUUAAAAUCUAAAUAAAAAUUCCAUUACAACCUCUCUAAACUAAUUCCAAAUUCCUCCUCUAACGUUGAAAGCUGUGUUCACUCUCGAGUGGCUCAGAGAAUCACAGAGGACCAGAGACUUGGCUCAAACCCUGCCAUGGGCCUAAGUUGGCUGUGUCUCCAGGCUCCUACCUCCCCAGAUUCCCAGGGGCUGCCAGCAGUCCCAGCACUGUGCCCACCACCUGUCGAGUGCAGACCAGGUCUGGGGAACAACCUUAAAAGCAAGAGAAGUUACAUCUGGAUGCUGAAAUGUGAAACUCUCAAGAUGGCUCAGGAGGCCAGGCAUCUUCUGAAGGAACAAGACUCUCAUUCCUGUGCUGCUUGUUCCUGGCCUUUGUGAAGGCCCAGUUGUCCUGCACGUAUUUGGGUUGUUCAUCAGUCCUUUGUUUCCAGGACUGUCAGGUGUGCUCUUGCUGUCGCUGCUGCCCCCCUGGCUGGGGCCCCAUUCCCAGGCAUCUUGCCUCAGCCCUAGCAUGGCGUGGGGGACUGAGCUGCCAUCUGCCACACGUAGCUCCGGAG